RNAcentral lists this ribosomal RNA (1311 nucleotides) under Weissella viridescens. Its description in RNAcentral is "bacterial SSU rRNA". It matches the Rfam family "Bacterial small subunit ribosomal RNA", at positions 28 to 1307 of the family's 1533-position model. Lineage: Bacteria; Bacillati; Bacillota; Bacilli; Lactobacillales; Lactobacillaceae. The record is from RNAcentral.
GAGGACUAUUUCCGGGGUUCUAUACAUGCAGUCGAACGCUUUGUGGUCCAACUGAUUUGAAGAGCUUGCUCAGAUAUGACGAUGGACAUUGCAAAGAGUGGCGAACGGGUGAGUAACACGUGGGAAACCUACCUCUUAGCAGGGGAUAACACUUGGAAACAAGUGCUAAUACCGUAUAACACUAAUAACCGCAUGGUUAUUAGUUAAAAGAUGGUCUUGCUAUCACUAAGAGAUGGUCCCGCGGUGUAUUAGCUGGUUGGUAAGGUAAUGGCUUACCAAGGCAAUGAUACAUAGCCGAGUUGAGAGACUGAUCGGCCACAAUGGGACUGAGACACGGCCCAUACUCCUACGGGAGGCAGCAGUAGGGAAUCUUCCACAAUGGACGAAAGUCUGAUGGAGCAACGCCGCGUGUGUGAUGAAGGGUUUCGGCUCGUAAAACACUGUUGUAAGAGAAGAAUGACAUUGAGAGUAACUGUUCAGUGUGUGACGGUAUCUUACCAGAAAGGAACGGCUAAAUACGUGCCAGCAGCCGCGGUAAUACGUAUGUUCCAAGCGUUAUCCGGAUUUAUUGGGCGUAAAGCGAGCGCAGACGGUUAUUUAAGUCCGAAGUGAAAGCCCACAGCUUAACUGUGGAAGUGCUUUGGAAACUGGAUAACUUGAGUGCAGUAGAGGAGAGUGGAACUCCAUGUGUAGCGGUGAAAUGCGUAGAUAUAUGGAAGAACACCAGUGGCGAAGGCGGCUCUCUGGACUGUAACUGACGUUGAGGCUCGAAAGUGUGGGUAGCAAACAGGAUUAGAUACCCUGGUAGUCCACACCGUAAACGAUGAGUGCUAGAUGUUUGAGGGUUUCCGCUCUUAAGUGUCGCAGCUAACGCAUUAAGCACUCCGCCUGGGGAGUACGACCGCAAGGUUGAAACUCAAAGGAAUUGACGGGGACCCGCACAAGCGGGUGAAGCAUGUGGUUUAAUUCGAAGCAACGCGAAGAACCUUACCAGGUCUUGACAUCCUUUGACCACUUCAAAGAUGAAGCUUUCCCUUCGGGGAACAAAGUGACAGGUGGUGCAUGCUUGUCGUCAGCCUCGUGUCGUGAGAAUUGUGGUUAAGUCCCGCAACGAACGCAACCCUUAUUACUAGUUGCAGCAUUCAGUGGCCACUCUAGUGGAAAACUGCCGUGAACAACGAGGAAAGGUGGGAUAGGACGUCAAAUACUCUAGCCCUUAGACUUGCUAACACUGGUCUCAUGGCAAGUACUCGAAAGCUAACCGAGAGAUACGCAUUCUCUAAACUGGUUCUCCAUUCGAAAAUGGUAGAG